This 481-nucleotide ribosomal RNA is filed under the name uncultured bacterium. RNAcentral describes it as "partial 16S ribosomal RNA". It matches the Rfam family "Bacterial small subunit ribosomal RNA", at positions 28 to 507 of the family's 1533-position model. The record is from RNAcentral.
GAUGAACGCUGGCGGCGUGCUUAACACAUGCAAGUCGAACGAAGCAUUUGCGACAGAUUUUUUCGGAAUGAAGUUGCUUAUGACUGAGUGGCGGACGGGUGAGUAACGCGUGGGUAACCUGCCUUGUACUGGGGGAUAGCAGCUGGAAACGGCUGGUAAUACCGCAUAAGCGCACAAUGUUGCAUGACAUGGUGUGAAAAACUCCGGUGGUAUACGAUGGACCCGCGUCUGAUUAGCUAGUUGGUGAGAUAACAGCCCACCAAGGCGACGAUCAGUAGCCGACCUGAGAGGAUGACCGGCCACAUUGGGACUGAGACACGGCCCAGACUCCUACGGGAGGCAGCAGUGGGGAAUAUUGCACAAUGGAGGAAACUCUGAUGCAGCGACGCCGCGUGAGUGAAGAAGUAAUUCGUUAUGUAAAGCUCUAUCAGCAGGGAAGAUAGUGACGGUACCUGACUAAGAAGCUCCGGCUAAAUACGUG